This is a long non-coding RNA of Cervus elaphus (red deer), 675 nucleotides long. RefSeq lists it as uncharacterized. The transcript has 2 exons. The record is from RefSeq and is a predicted model, not a curated record. NCBI's taxonomy places the organism in Eukaryota, Metazoa, Chordata, Mammalia, Artiodactyla, Cervidae.
GCAGCCGGUUUCUCAAGAUCUCAACACAGGCGAAAUGCGCAGACAGACGAGUGCGCCUGCGUUUUCUUCCCGGGUCUAGUACCCUGGCUCAGAGCUCGCGAGAGCCGCGAAUGCGCCUGCCGCCUCUCCACGGCUCCAGUCACUAAGUCGUGUACAACUCUUUGUGACUCCAUGGACUGUGAGGAAGGAGGAAACAGACAGAACAGGCUCCAUCUUGAAAGCAGGACUCCAUCUUGGACUGGACUGUGAACUUUGAGCUAUAUGCCCAGAUCUAUGGAAAUGGCAUACCAACUGGACAACCAGACCCCCACCCCCUCAGCCAAUGGAACAGCCCCAGGGCUCAUGCCUAGACUCACUGUCGCCUAAAAGAAUACCCUAAUUAUCUGUGUAACCAAAUAGAAUCAUAAAUUCUAUUAUGCUUAUUGGGCUAUGACCACAGGUCUAUUGAUAGUUGUCCACUGUUAACUACCUAGGCUUAAGGCUUAUGAAUCACAGGUUAACUUUGAUUGUAUCUUUCUUUUUCUUUGUUGAGGCUAGUUUUGGGGAAUGUGGGGAGGUGGGUUUGGGCACGUACACUUAGGGUAUAUAAGGUUUUCACAAUAACUGGUCAAGGUCCUUGGCUAAGAGGAGACUCUGCCUUGGGCCUGCUGGUGUAAUAAACCACUCCACUACCUG